This 472-nucleotide ribosomal RNA is filed under the name uncultured bacterium. RNAcentral describes it as "bacterial SSU rRNA". It matches the Rfam family "Bacterial small subunit ribosomal RNA", at positions 1039 to 1509 of the family's 1533-position model. The record is from RNAcentral.
UGCUGCAUGGCUGUCAUCAGCUCGUGUUGUGAAAUGUUGGGUUAAGUCCCGNAACGAGCGCAACCCUUUAUCCUUUGUUGCCAGCACGUAAUGGUGGGAACUCAAAGGAGACUGCCGGUGAUAAACCGGAGGAAGGUGGGGAUGACGUCAAGUCAUCAUGGCCCUUACGAGUAGGGCUACACACGUGCUACAAUGGCGCAUACAAAGAGAAGCGACCUCGCGAGAGCAAGCGGACCUCAUAAAGUGCGUCGUAGUCCGGAUUGGAGUCUGCAACUCGACUCCAUGAAGUCGGAAUCGCUAGUAAUCGUAAAUCAGAAUGUUACGGUGAAUACGUUCCCGGGCCUUGUACACACCGCCCGUCACACCAUGGGAGUGGGUUGCAAAAGAAGUAGAUAGCUUAACCUUCGGGAGGGCGUUUACCACUUUGUGAUUCAUGGCUGGGGUGAAGUCGUAACAAGGUAAGCGUAGUGCU